This is a long non-coding RNA of Bos taurus (domestic cattle), 436 nucleotides long. The record is from Ensembl. NCBI's taxonomy places the organism in Eukaryota, Metazoa, Chordata, Mammalia, Artiodactyla, Bovidae.
GGCCACUUGACCAAGGAGCCGAAGCCACUCUGGCUGGUCUUGCUGCAUCCAUGUCAUGCUUGGGGACACAUGAAGGAUAUGACACCCCCCCACACUUGUCAGCUUCUGAUCACACACCGAGCUGGAUGGUGAAGACAGCUGUCCAGCACACUGGAGGGGUGGUGUGUUCCAGCCUGCGUAUGUUGGGCAGCCACCUGGAGAACCUGUUUGUUCACUCUCAGGAGGGAGCCAGAAAGAGCCGGUACAAGACUGCCCCCUCCUCUGCCAUACUGGCUCCCUGCUGCAGAGACCAGGAAGGCCCCACCCUCUGCAGGUGAGCUCAGAAAACCACAGCACCAGUGGUGAUGCCAUGUAUGAAGCUGAAUCACUGAAGUUCCACCAGCUGUCAGGCUGCACUGCUCCUGCUGCAGCUCAGAAAUUUUACAUUCGAUGCAAG